UUCAGAGCAGCACACACACACGUUUGUUUUUGAGGGAAAGCCGAACUGUGAGCAGACAUGGAAGCUGUAGUUGGACUGUUAUUGCUGUUGUGUGGAGUGCCUCGUGAUGUGGAAACUCACUGUGAUGGCAGACAGGAUGGAGUUCAGUGUUAUGGAGCUUUGGGAGGAACUGUGGACAUCCAGCUGAUGGACAGCACCUCAGAAAUACCUAGAUACCACUUGUUAAAGGAUUCAUCAAAAAUAUUGGAUGUGAAACACAAUAAGAGUCUUCAUGAUACCACAGAGAACAAAUUUUUAUUUUUUCCUAGUAAUGGAAAAUUUAGGAUCAGUAGCCUAAACAGGAAGGACCAUGGUAAUUAUACCCUUCAAACCUUUGAUUCAGAUGGAAGAGCAUCAGGCGAGCGGACUUUAUGUAUAUUUGUUCAAGCUCCUGUGUCCUCUGUCCUGCUGGUCUCUGAGUGUCUGUCCCAGGGAGAGAUGAGGGUGUCCUGCUCCUCUGAGGGAGGGGACAGUCCUCAGUACAGCUGGACUCUGGAUGGACGCACACUGACAGAUGCUGAGCUCCUUUCUGGAAAUAAGGAGACUAACAUCAUCACUCUGAAACAGCACGUCUCAGGACGUCUGGUCUGCUCAGUCAGGAACAACGUCAGUAAUGUCUUCAAAGAAGAGAAGAUAUCUAUCUGUGAAGCAGGUAUUUUGCCAGUGAUCUGUGGUGUUCUCUCGGCUUUGGUAAUUUUCCUAACUGUGGCUGCAGCAGUCAUCUGUGCGCAGAGGAAGAAACAAAAAAACACACCUACAAAAGAUGAAGAAGAUGGACAGCAAAUAAUGUACUCCGAUGUUAGAGUGAAGAAAAAGAAAGAACAGAAGAAAAUGGAGAAAAGAGUGGAGGUGGAGGCAGAGGUGGAGUACGGCCAAGUUUUAGUCAAGUCCUCAAGGCGAUCUCGGCGCACUGAACAAGCAGGAGAUGAUUGUUUGUAUGUCAACAUCCAUAAAAUCAGGUGAUUAAAGUGAUCAGCAUUUUUACACAGACUACACCACUGAAGGUCCACAGAGGGAGGAGGUGGUGUCGAAAUACCGAAAGGUCUUUUAUUUAAUGGAACUUCC
This is a long non-coding RNA of Oreochromis aureus, 1104 nucleotides long. The record is from Ensembl. NCBI's taxonomy places the organism in Eukaryota, Metazoa, Chordata, Actinopteri, Cichliformes, Cichlidae.